AACGAACGCUGGCGGCAUGCCUAACACAUGCAAGUCGAACGAAACCUUCGGGUCUAGUGGCGCACGGGUGCGUAACGCGUGGGAACCUGCCCUUAGGGUCGGAAUAACUCCCCGAAAGGGGUGCCAAUACCGGAUAAUGUCUUCGGACCAAUGAUUUAUCGCCCUUGGAUGGGCCCGAGUUGGAUUAGCUAGUUGGUAGGGUAAAAGCCUACCAAGGCGACGAUCCAUAGCUGGUCUGUGAGGAGGAUCAGCCACACUGGGACUGAGACACGGCCGAGACUCCUCCGGGAGGCAGCAGUGGGGGAUAUUGGAACAUGGGCGAAGGCCUGAUCCAGCACUGCCGCGUGAGUGAUGAAAGCCUUAGGGUUGUAAAGCUCUUUUAACCGGGCUGAUAAUGACGGUACCGGGAGAAUAAGCUCCGGCUAACUCCGUG
RNAcentral lists this ribosomal RNA (433 nucleotides) under uncultured bacterium. RNAcentral describes it as "partial 16S ribosomal RNA". It matches the Rfam family "Bacterial small subunit ribosomal RNA", at positions 29 to 507 of the family's 1533-position model. The record is from RNAcentral.